Molecule: ribosomal RNA, 445 nt
Filed under: uncultured bacterium
Lineage: Bacteria
Description: partial 16S ribosomal RNA
Rfam family: Bacterial small subunit ribosomal RNA
Source: RNAcentral
GUAGGGAAUAUUGGGCAAUGGAAGGAAUUCUGACCCAGCCAUGCCGCGUGCAGGAAUACAGUCCUAUGGACUUUAAACUGCUUUUAUUAUAGAGUAACCUGGGGGACGUGUCCCCCACUGCAAGUAUAUAAUGAAUAAGCAUCGGCUAACUCCGUGCCAGCAGCCGCGGUAAUACGGGGGAUGCAAGCGUUAUCCGGAUUUAUUGGGUUUAAAGGGUGCGCAGGCUGAUCGGUAAGUCAUGGGUGAAAAGUCACUGCUUAACAGUGAUCGUGCCUAUGAUACUGCCGGACUAGAGUUUAAGAGGUGUAACUGGAAUGUGAUGUGUAGCGGUGAAAUGCUUAGAUAUGUCACAGAACGCCAAUCGUGAAGACAGGUUACAAACUUAAUACUGACGCUCAUGCACGAAAGCGUGGGGAUCAAACAGGAUUAGAUACCCUGGUAGUCC